AAUGAACGUUGGCGGCGUGGAUUAGGCAUGCAAGUCGAGCGAGAACCCCGCAAGGGGGGACAGCGGCAAACGGCGUAGUAAGGCGUAGGUACGUGCCCCCGGGUCUGGGAUAGCCAAGGGAAACUUUGGGUAAUACCGGAUACUCUCGAGAGAGCAAAGGUGUGACUCCGCCUGGGGAGUGGCUUACGUGGUAUUAGCUUGUUGGUGAGGUAACGGCUCACCAAGGCAAGGAUGCCUAGGGGGUGUGAGAGCACGACCCCCACGACUGGGACUGAGAUACUGCCCAGACACCUACGGGUGGCUGCAGUCGAGAAUCUUCGGCAAUGGGCGAAAGCCUGACCGAGCGACGCCGCGUGUGGGAUGAAGGCCCUUGGGUUGUAAACCACUGUCAGAGGGGAUGAAGUGCACGGGGGUACUCCCUCGUGUUUGACAUAACCUCAGAGGAAGCACGGGCUAAGUUCGUGCCAGCAGCCGCCGUAA
Molecule: ribosomal RNA, 480 nt
Filed under: uncultured bacterium
Lineage: Bacteria
Description: partial 16S ribosomal RNA
Rfam family: Bacterial small subunit ribosomal RNA
Source: RNAcentral